AUAACACCGGGAAACCGGUGCUAAUACCGCAUACGAUCACGAUGUCUGCGGAUGUUGUGAUGAAAGGAGCAAUUCGCUCCAGGAGGAGCCCGCGGCUGAUUAGCUAGUUGAUGAGGUAACGGCUCACCAAGGCUACGAUCAGUAUCCGGUCUGAGGGGACGGUCGGACACACUGGAACU
RNAcentral lists this ribosomal RNA (179 nucleotides) under uncultured bacterium. Its description in RNAcentral is "partial 16S ribosomal RNA". It matches the Rfam family "Bacterial small subunit ribosomal RNA", at positions 143 to 320 of the family's 1533-position model. The record is from RNAcentral.